UACGUAGGCAGCGAGCGUUGUUCGGAGUUACUGGGCGUAAAGCGUGCGUAGGUGGUGAGUUAAGUCUGUCGUGAAAGCCCCGGGCUCAACCUGGGAAUGGCGAUGGAUACUGGCUCGCUAGAGUGCGGUAGAGGAGAGUGGAAUUCCCGGUGUAGCAGUGAAAUGCGUAGAGAUCGGGAGGAACAUCAGUUGCGAAGGCGGCUCUCUGGACCAGCACUGACACUGAGGCACGAAAGCGUGGGGAGCAAACAGG
RNAcentral lists this ribosomal RNA (253 nucleotides) under uncultured bacterium. Its description in RNAcentral is "partial 16S ribosomal RNA". It matches the Rfam family "Bacterial small subunit ribosomal RNA", at positions 524 to 776 of the family's 1533-position model. The record is from RNAcentral.